AAAACUAUUCAAUCUCUUCUGGUUGAGCUGAUCCCUCAUGCCGGCUCGUAGGUGGCUCCUGACUCAAUUUACUGUUCACAAUGGACUCAUGGCUUUAGUAACCAAUUUAGAAGUUGCAUUUGGCUUCGUGCAACCCGUAAUUAUACGUUGGCUUAUGUUGGGCUUCGUGGUCAGUGUGUUGAGCCGUUGUUUUUUAUUUACCUCGUGUGAAAUAUUUGAAUUAUCCCGCCAACUCCUGACCUCCAAAUAUGUUUGGGUUGGACAUUGUGUGACCUCACUUGCUUCCCUUCAUUGCCAACCUGGUAUGAGGCACAUAGUGAGUAAUGCUCAUUAAUGAGCAUCCUCAGAUACCGAAGAUGGUUUCCAUGGAUGAAGGGACAUUCAUUUCUUUAUUUUGGUUCAGGUGACAAAUGUCUUCUCGAAGGAUUCUUUAGGAAUAGUCAACUCCUUGUAUUGAGUGUGCUUUCUCUAACACCAGAUUUAAGGUAUAAUAUGUAUCGUUCAUGUAUUCCCCCUUGGUUCAUGCAAUUGAUGGGUUUUUUUCAUAGUGGCUGCUUCAAGAUCAGCCAUAUAUCAUUGUUUCGUGUUCUUCAGGAAUAGAGGGUGAAGAUUAUGGCAAGGCUAAAGGAUGUCAAAGUGCGAGAGAGGAUUUUGCGGCGUCUUGAUAUGCGGAGGUAUUUUUUGAUGACUGGUUUCACAGUUCGAAGUGAUGGUCAAGGAGUGCAUGAAUGCUUUCUGUUUGGACAGGAGACAGUGAUAUGCAAGUCUUGGGAGCCAUUCCCAGAGUUGCUGAUGACGUUGCAUGUCUGUGCGACCCUGAUGCUUAGUUAGUGGAUGUAUGCAGUGUUCUUAAGUCAUUCAGUCGGCCAUCGAUGGAAGCAUUGAGAGUUUAAUCUACGACAGAACUUUCGUUCAUAAAAGAACAACCAGAAGGUGAUCACCUCGAAAUGUUGGCCAUCCGUGGAUGAAGGAAGUUGCUAAUCUGAUGGCUUUAGGAAAAUGGUGCAUCUCUUUCCGGCUCCAGCUAGGACAAGUGGAUGACAUGCUCACUACAAAUAGUUAGCAUGAUAACGUUUUUUUAUUAGUUCUGAGUAAUCUUUAUAUGAAAAAAUUUGUAAAUCUCUUAUCAUGUAGAUUAUAAAUACAAAUUGAAUGAAAUUCGUUUUGAUGCGCUUAUUUAUAAUUAGAAUGAAUUUUGUGAUCUUUCUCACA
This is a long non-coding RNA of Neltuma alba, 1212 nucleotides long. RefSeq lists it as uncharacterized. Lineage: Eukaryota; Viridiplantae; Streptophyta; Magnoliopsida; Fabales; Fabaceae. The transcript is spliced from 4 exons. The record is from RefSeq and is a predicted model, not a curated record.